Molecule: unclassified non-coding RNA, 334 nt
Filed under: soil metagenome
Description: partial contains 5.8S ribosomal RNA, internal transcribed spacer 2, and large subunit ribosomal RNA
Rfam family: 5.8S ribosomal RNA (bases 1-120)
Source: RNAcentral
GAUGAAGAACGUAGCGAAAUGCGAUAAGUAAUGUGAAUUGCAGAAUUCAGUGAAUCAUCGAAUCUUUGAACGCACAUUGCGCCCGCUAGUAUUCUGGCGGGCAUGCCUGUUCGAGCGUCAUUUCAACCAUCAAGCCCUGCUUGUGUUGGGGUCCUGCGGCUGCCCGCAGGCCCUGAAAACCAGUGGCGGGCUCGCUAGUCACACCGAGCGCAGUAGCACAUCUCGCUCAGGGCGUGCGGCGGGCUCCAGCCGUUAAAGCACCCACCUUUCGCAAGGUUGACCUCGGAUCAGGUAGGAAUACCCGCUGAACUUAAGCAUAUCAAUAAGCGGAGGA